Molecule: transfer RNA, 72 nt
Filed under: Hafniomonas laevis
Lineage: Eukaryota; Viridiplantae; Chlorophyta; Chlorophyceae; Chlamydomonadales; Dunaliellaceae
Description: tRNA-His
Rfam family: tRNA
About the family: Transfer RNA (tRNA) molecules are approximately 80 nucleotides in length. Their secondary structure includes four short double-helical elements and three loops (D, anti-codon, and T loops).
Source: RNAcentral
GCGGGCGUAGCCAAGUGGUAAGGCAUUGGACUGUGACUCCAACAUUCGCGGGUUCAAGCCCCGUCGUUCGCC